RNAcentral lists this ribosomal RNA (1349 nucleotides) under uncultured bacterium. RNAcentral describes it as "bacterial SSU rRNA". It matches the Rfam family "Bacterial small subunit ribosomal RNA", at positions 28 to 1381 of the family's 1533-position model. The record is from RNAcentral.
GACGAACGCUGGCGGCGCGCUUAACACAUGCAAGUCGAGCGAUGAAAUUUCGACAGAUCCCUUCGGGGUGAAGAUGAAAUGGAUUAGCGGCGGACGGGUGAGUAACACGUGAGUAACCUGCCUUUGACAUUGGGAUAGCCUCGGGAAACUGGGAUUAAUACCAAAUGACACUAACUGAUCACAUGAUCAAUUAGUCAAAGAAAUUCGGUCAAAGAUGGACUCGCGGCUGAUUAGCUAGUUGGUGAGGUAACGGCCCACCAAGGCGACGAUCAGUAGCCGGCCUGAGAGGGUGAUCGGCCACAUUGGAACUGAGACACGGUCCAAACUCCUACGGGAGGCAGCAGUGGGGAAUAUUGCACAAUGGGGGAAACCCUGAUGCAGCGACGCCGCGUGAGCGAAGAAGGCCUUCGGGUCGUAAAGCUCUUUUAUGAGGGAAGAUAAUGACGGUACCUCAAGAAAAAGCCCCGGCUAACUACGUGCCAGCAGCCGCGGUAAUACGUAGGGGGCUAGCGUUGUCCGGAAUCACUGGGCGUAAAGGGUUCGCAGGCGGAAUAACAAGUCAGAUGUGAAAGGCAUGGGCUCAACCCAUGUAAGCAUUCGAAACUGUAAUUCUUGAGAAGUGGAGAGGUAAGUGGAAUUCCUAGUGUAGCGGUGAAAUGCGUAGAUAUUAGGAGGAAUACCUGUGGCGAAGGCGACUUACUGGACACAAAUCUGACGCUGAGGAACGAAAGCGUGGGUAGCAAACAGGAUUAGAUACCCUGGUAGUCCACGCCGUAAACGAUGAGUGCUAGGUGUCGGGGGAGACCUCGGUGCCGGCGUUAACACAAUAAGCACUCCGCCUGGGGAGUACGUGCGCAAGCAUGAAACUCAAAGGAAUUGACGGGGACCCGCACAAGCAGCGGAGCAUGUGGUUUAAUUCGACGCAACGCGAAGAACCUUACCAGGGCUUGACAUACUGAGGGCGUACUUAGAGAUAAGUAUUCUCCUUCGGGAGCCUCAAUACAGGUGGUGCAUGGUUGUCGUCAGCUCGUGACGUGAGAUGUUCAGUUAAGUCUGGCAACGAGCGCAACCCUUACCUUUAGUUACCAGCAUGUAAAGAUGGGGACUCUAAAGGGACUGCCGAUGAUAAAUCGGAGGAAGGUGGGGAUGACGUCAAAUCAUCAUGCCCUAUAUGCCCUGGGCUACACACGUGCUACAAUGGUCGGAACAGAGGGAAGCAACAGAGCGAUCUCAAGCAAAUCUCAUAAAUCCGAUCCCAGUUCGGAUUGCACUCUGCAACUCGAGUGCAUGAAGUCGGAGUUGCUAGUAAUCGCAGAUCAGCAUGCUGCGGUGAAUGCGUUCCCGGGUCU